UGAGGAAUUUUGCGCGAUGGGAGCAAUCCUGACGCAGCAACGCCGCGUGGGUGAUGAAGGCCUUCGGGUCGUAAAGCUCUGUCGUCGGGGACGAACGGUCACAUCAGGAAAUGGGUGUGAAGUGACGGUACCCGAGAAGGAAGCCACGGCUAACUACGUGCCAGCAGCCGCGGUAAUACGUAGGUAGCGAGCGUUGUCCGGAAUUAUUGGGCGUAAAGCGCGCGCAGGUGGGAUCUUAAGUCUGUUUUCAAAGUGCGGAGCUUAACUCCGUGAUGGGAUAGAAACUGGGAUUCUUGAGUACCGGAGAGGAAAGCGGAAUUCCCCGUGUAGCGGUGAAAUGCGUGGAUAUGGGGAGGAACACCAGUGGCGAAGGCGGCUUUCUGGACGGUGUCUGACACUGAGGCGCGAAAGCCAGGGGAGCGAACG
Molecule: ribosomal RNA, 426 nt
Filed under: uncultured prokaryote
Description: bacterial SSU rRNA
Rfam family: Bacterial small subunit ribosomal RNA
Source: RNAcentral